This 74-nucleotide transfer RNA is filed under the name Paractinoplanes pyxinae. Its description in RNAcentral is "tRNA-Gly". It matches the Rfam family "tRNA". Rfam says of the family: Transfer RNA (tRNA) molecules are approximately 80 nucleotides in length. Their secondary structure includes four short double-helical elements and three loops (D, anti-codon, and T loops). Further hydrogen bonds mediate the characteristic L-shaped molecular structure. tRNAs have two regions of fundamental functional importance: the anti-codon, which is responsible for specific mRNA codon recognition, and the 3' end, to which the tRNAs corresponding amino acid is attached (by aminoacyl-tRNA synthetases). tRNAs cope with the degeneracy of the genetic code in two manners: having more than one tRNA (with a specific anti-codon) for a particular amino acid; and 'wobble' base-pairing, i.e. permitting non-standard base-pairing at the 3rd anti-codon position. Lineage: Bacteria; Bacillati; Actinomycetota; Actinomycetes; Micromonosporales; Micromonosporaceae. The record is from RNAcentral.
GCGGUUGUAGCUCAGUCAGGUAGAGCGCCACCCCGCCAAGGUGGAGGCCGCCGGUUCGAACCCGGCCUGCCGCU